Non-coding RNA from Brassica napus (rape), 78 nucleotides. The record is from Rfam. NCBI's taxonomy places the organism in Eukaryota, Viridiplantae, Streptophyta, Magnoliopsida, Brassicales, Brassicaceae.
CACCAUGAAAACCAGGAGAAGGAGCACCAGACUGUCCGGAAUAGGAAGAAGCAAAAGAUCUGCCUGAACCGUCUGGUA